CCUACGGGUGGCAGCAGUGAGGAAUAUUGGUCAAUGGACGGAAGUCUGAACCAGCCAUGCCGCGUGCAGGAUGACGGCUCUAUGAGUUGUAAACUGCUUUUGUAUUAGGGUAAACCCCCCUACGUGUAGGGGCUUGAAAGUAUAAUACGAAUAAGGAUCGGCUAACACCGUGCCAGCAGCCGCGGUAAUACGGUGGAUCCCAGCGUUAUCCGGAUUUAAUUGGUUUAAAGGGGGCCGAGGCGGUGAGGUAAGUCAGCUGGGAAAUGCCCCCGCUCAACGGGGUGAAGUGCCAUUGAUACUGCCAUGCUGGAAUGCGGAUGCCGUGGGAGGAAUGUGUGGUGUAGCGGUGAAAUGCAUAGAGAUCACACAGAACACCGAUUGCGAAGGCAUCUCACGAAGCCGCGAUUGACGCUGAUGCACGAAAGCGUGGGUAUCAAACAGGAUUAGAUACCCCUGUAGUC
RNAcentral lists this ribosomal RNA (461 nucleotides) under uncultured bacterium. Its description in RNAcentral is "partial 16S ribosomal RNA". It matches the Rfam family "Bacterial small subunit ribosomal RNA", at positions 338 to 795 of the family's 1533-position model. The record is from RNAcentral.